Molecule: ribosomal RNA, 253 nt
Filed under: uncultured bacterium
Lineage: Bacteria
Description: partial 16S ribosomal RNA
Rfam family: Bacterial small subunit ribosomal RNA
Source: RNAcentral
UACGUAGGGUGCGAGCGUUAAUCGGAAUUACUGGGCGUAAAGCGUGCGCAGGCGGUUGUGCAAGACCGAUGUGAAAUCCCCGGGCUCAACCUGGGAAUUGCAUUUGUGACUGCACGGCUAGAGUGUGUCAGAGGGGGGUAGAAUUCCACGUGUAGCAGUGAAAUGCGUAGAGAUGUGGAGGAAUACCGAUGGCGAAGGCAGCCCCCUGGGAUAACACUGACGCUCAUGCACGAAAGCGUGGGGAGCAAACAGG